Molecule: ribosomal RNA, 466 nt
Filed under: uncultured bacterium
Lineage: Bacteria
Description: bacterial SSU rRNA
Rfam family: Bacterial small subunit ribosomal RNA
Source: RNAcentral
CUCCAGACUCCUACGGGAGGCAGCAGUGAGGAAUAUUGGUCAAUGGGCGAGAGUCUGAACCAGCCAAGUCGCGUGAAGGAUGAAGGAUCUAUGGUUUGUAAACUUCUUUUAUAUGGGAAUAAAGUGAGGAACGUGUUCCUUUUUGUAUGUGCCAUAUGAAUAAGCAUCGGCUAACUCCGUGCCAGCAGCCGCGGUAAUACGGAGGAUCCGAGCGUUAUCCGGAUUUAUUGGGUUUAAAGGGAGCGUAGGCGGGUUGUUAAGUCAGUUGUGAAAGUUUGCGGCUCAACCGUAAAAUUGCAGUUGAUACUGGCAUCCUUGAGUACAGUAGAGGUAGGCGGAAUUCGUGGUGUAGCGGUGAAAUGCUUAGAUAUCACGAAGAACUCCGAUUGCGAAGGCAGCCUGCUGGACUGUAACUGACGCUGAUGCUCGAAAGUGUGGGUAUCAAACAGGAUUAGAUACCCCAGUA